AUUCUAGAGAGAAGAUUGACCAGUGAGCGAAGAACUCCCGAACGGUGAACUUGGCAGAUGUGUCUUCGAAAACUGAAUCAAAGUUGAUGCGUUCAGCUCGACGGUGUUAUUUUUCUGAUCCGCGAUGACGUUACUACCGAUGUCUCAGAGAAUCGAGCGCAAUUCUAGGGAAAACGAAGUCGCGGCAGCAGCUUCAAGGCUCACCAAACCCACGAAGAAGAAAAGGUGUAUCAAAGACAUCGAAACCAGUUGAUUAUAAACAAGCUGAUCCGAAAGCUCGAAGCUUUAAAGUAAUCUUCCCUCCUAAAGUUUCAGAGUGAAAAUCUAAGAGUGACGGAGUUUCCCUCCUUCCGUUGCAGAAAACGAAGGUCUGUGUUUUGAAACGACAAUACUUUGACCGGUGAUAAUGUUUGUUCUCCGACUACUUUUCGUAAUGGGUUUCGUUUAUACUGUUAUUGACCCAUUACUAAUUACUCAUUGUCCUAAAUAAAGGUCCGUCUACGAACCGGAGAUAGG
Molecule: long non-coding RNA, 516 nt
Filed under: Brassica napus (rape)
Lineage: Eukaryota; Viridiplantae; Streptophyta; Magnoliopsida; Brassicales; Brassicaceae
Description: long non-coding RNA (BNAP_LNC008877)
Source: RNAcentral